RNAcentral lists this ribosomal RNA (493 nucleotides) under uncultured bacterium. RNAcentral's name for it is "partial 16S ribosomal RNA". It matches the Rfam family "Bacterial small subunit ribosomal RNA", at positions 28 to 507 of the family's 1533-position model. The record is from RNAcentral.
GACGAACGCUGGCGGCGUGCUUAACACAUGCAAGUCGAACGGUGAAGGGACCGGUUUUUGCUGGUUCUGGAUGAGUGGCGAACGGGUGAGUAACACGUGAGUAACCUGCCCCCUUCUUCUGGAUAACCGCAUGAAAGUGUGGCUAAUACGGGAUAUUCUGCGCCUGCUGCAUGGUGGGUGUGGGAAAGAUAUUGUUUCGGUGGGGGAUGGGCUCGCGGCCUAUCAGCUUGUUGGUGGGGUGAUGGCCUACCAAGGCGGUGACGGGUAGCCGGCCUGAGAGGGUGGACGGUCACACUGGGACUGAGACACGGCCCAGACUCCUACGGGAGACAGCAGUGGGGAAUAUUGCACAAUGGGCGCAAGCCUGAUGCAGCGACGCCGCGUGAGGGAGGGAGGCCUUCGGGUUGUAAACCUCUUUCGCCAGUGAAGCAGGCCUGUCCCUUUUGUGGGUGGGUUGACGGUAGCUGGAUAAGAAGCGCCGGCUAACUACGUG